This 243-nucleotide long non-coding RNA is filed under the name Pelobates cultripes (western spadefoot toad). Lineage: Eukaryota; Metazoa; Chordata; Amphibia; Anura; Pelobatidae. The record is from RNAcentral.
GGCUGAACCUCCUUUGGCAGCAAUAACUUCAACCAAACGUUUCCUGUAGUUGCAGAUCAGACGUGCACAACGGUCAGGAGUAAUUCUUGACCAUUCCUCUUUACAGAAGUGUUUCAGUUCAGCAAUAUUCUUGGGAAGUCUGGUGUGAAUCGCUUUCUUGAGGUCAUGCCACAGCAUCUCAAUCGGGUUGAGGUCAGGACUCUGACCGGGCCACUUCAGAAGGUGUAUUUUCUUCUGUUUAAG